RNAcentral lists this long non-coding RNA (241 nucleotides) under Mus musculus (house mouse). RNAcentral's name for it is "long non-coding RNA chr2:119284791-119285032". The record is from RNAcentral. Lineage: Eukaryota; Metazoa; Chordata; Mammalia; Rodentia; Muridae.
GGCCUCGAAAAGGAUCUCUUUCAUCCCUCUACUGAGGAGAAGAGGAAAUGCAAGAAAAAUCGCCUGGUGCAGAGCCCUAAUUCCUACUUUAUAGAUGUGAAAUGCCCAGGAUGCUAUAAAAUCACCAUGGUCUCUAGCCAUGCACAAAUGGUAGUCUUGUGUGUUGGCUGCUCCACUGUCCUGUCAGCCUACAGGUGGGAAAGCAAGGCUGACAGAAAGACGCUCCUUCAGGAGGAAGCAG